RNAcentral lists this unclassified non-coding RNA (451 nucleotides) under Hevea brasiliensis (rubber tree). The record is from RNAcentral. Lineage: Eukaryota; Viridiplantae; Streptophyta; Magnoliopsida; Malpighiales; Euphorbiaceae.
GAACCUUUCACAGCCUGAGACAGUUUACCCCUCUACCACCACCGAAUGAACCUCUUUCCAUUACCCAAUACGCUUUCUCUCUUCUUCAAUCUUUCACCACCAAACCAACCAUCGAUACUUUCCUCGUCAACUCUAAUACAGGCGUUUCUCUUACCUACGCUCAACUUCUCAGCCAGACCCACUUUCUCUCCCUCUCUCUCCAAACUCAAUUCUCUCUCUCUACGAACGACGUCGCUUUUAUCCUCUGUCCGCCUUCUGUCCACGUCCCGGUUCUCUACUUCUCUCUCCUUUCUCUCGGUGUCACUCUCUCUCCCGCCAAUCCACUCGCUUCCAACUCUGAGAUUACUCACCAAAUCCAACUCUGUAAACCCAAAAUUGCAUUCGCUACAUCCCAAACAGCACAUAAACUCCCUUCUCUUCCCUUCGGAACCAUCCUCAUCGACUCGCCUGA